UACGUAGGGUGCAAGCGUUAAUCGGAAUUACUGGGCGUAAAGCGUACGCAGGCGGCUAUGUAAGACAGGUGUGAAAUCCCCGGGCCUAACCUGGGAACUGCAUUUGUGACUGCAUAGCUAGAGUCCGUCAGAGGGGGGUGGAAUUCCACGUGUAGCAGUGAAAUGCGUAGAGAUGUGGAGGAACACCGAUGGCGAAGGCAGCCUCCUGGGCCAGCACUGACGCUCAUGCACGAAAGCGUGGGGAGCAAACAGG
Molecule: ribosomal RNA, 253 nt
Filed under: uncultured bacterium
Lineage: Bacteria
Description: partial 16S ribosomal RNA
Rfam family: Bacterial small subunit ribosomal RNA
Source: RNAcentral